GUUUCUGUAGUUGAAUAACAACAAUGGUUUUUCAUGCCAUAGGUUAUGGUUAAAGUCCAUGUGGAAAUG
RNAcentral lists this transfer RNA (69 nucleotides) under Caenolestes fuliginosus (silky shrew opossum). RNAcentral describes it as "transfer RNA-Glu". It matches the Rfam family "tRNA". From Rfam's summary of the family: Transfer RNA (tRNA) molecules are approximately 80 nucleotides in length. Their secondary structure includes four short double-helical elements and three loops (D, anti-codon, and T loops). Further hydrogen bonds mediate the characteristic L-shaped molecular structure. tRNAs have two regions of fundamental functional importance: the anti-codon, which is responsible for specific mRNA codon recognition, and the 3' end, to which the tRNAs corresponding amino acid is attached (by aminoacyl-tRNA synthetases). tRNAs cope with the degeneracy of the genetic code in two manners: having more than one tRNA (with a specific anti-codon) for a particular amino acid; and 'wobble' base-pairing, i.e. permitting non-standard base-pairing at the 3rd anti-codon position. The record is from RNAcentral. Lineage: Eukaryota; Metazoa; Chordata; Mammalia; Paucituberculata; Caenolestidae.